GACGAACGCUGGCGGCGUGGAUUAGGCAUGCAAGUCGAACGGAGUCGAUCGACGGAAGCCUUCGGGCGGAAGAUGGUUGACUUAGCGGCGGAUGGGUGAGUAACGCGUGGGCAACCUGCCUCGAAGACCGGGAUAACAGACCGAAAGGGCUGCUAAUACCGGAUGUGGUCAAGGAUCCGCAUGGAUCUUGAUUAAAGGGGAAACCCGUUUCGAGAUGGGCCCGCGUCCUAUCAGCUAGUUGGUGAGGUAAAAAGCUCACCAAGGCGACGACGGGUAGCCGGCCUGAGAGGGUGACCGGCCACACUGGAACUGAGACACGGUCCAGACUCCUACGGGGGGCAGCAGUGGGGGAAUCUUCCACAAUGGGCGAAAGCCUGAUGGAGCGACGCCGCGUGAGCGAAGAAGGCCUUCGGGUUGUAAAGCUCUGUCUGGAGGGACGAACAAAAAUGACGGUACCUCCGGAGGAAGCCACGGCUAACUACGUG
This 485-nucleotide ribosomal RNA is filed under the name uncultured bacterium. RNAcentral describes it as "bacterial SSU rRNA". It matches the Rfam family "Bacterial small subunit ribosomal RNA", at positions 28 to 507 of the family's 1533-position model. The record is from RNAcentral.